Molecule: long non-coding RNA, 8625 nt
Filed under: Nicotiana tabacum (common tobacco)
Lineage: Eukaryota; Viridiplantae; Streptophyta; Magnoliopsida; Solanales; Solanaceae
Description: long non-coding RNA (NTAB_LNC019568)
Source: RNAcentral
UUGACUGGUUCUUCAUGCACACUUUGAUCUGAACCUUGAUGCUUGCUAGCUACAGGUGCUAUUUCAUUCUUCUACGACUUCUUCUGACCAAAACGGAAAAUGUAAACCUUGUAACUUCAGUCAUCUUGAGCAGUCCAUAUCAUUUCCAUCUACUUCUACAUUUGGGAUUCACUUCUCUCUCUUGUUAUUCAUUUAUUUUGGAUUAAGACUUCUUCUUUUGUUCAUCUCGAACUCUGUGCCUCGAGAUAAAACCUGCUCAAACACCACAACAAUUAAACGAACAAAAUAUUUCUGUCCCAGUUUUCACUAGAAAAAUUUCGUGAGUUAUUGUAACAGAAUUCUAAACUACUUCUUUAUUAAAAGCAAUAAAAGAUCGAGAAUGGUGUACCCUCAAAAGGCCGUGAUUGUGAUUUUUUUGGGGAUAUUAUACCUUUAUUGUCCCAAAAGAAUGUCUCAACUAAGGAUUGAUGUACCUUAUGUUGGAAAAAUAUGGCCAGUGAAUGGGAUACCGUAUAUUGGCAAUGGUAUCAGGGAGUGGUGUAUCCUGCAUUUAAGAUCAAAUCAACUAGGGAGUGAUGUACCCUAUGUUAGAGAACGCAGCUAGGGAUUGGUGUACCCUAUACUAGUAAGAAGAUCAGGGAUUGGUGUUCCAUAUACUGGUAAGGAAAUGUAAUCAGGGGCUGACGCAUUGUGGGAAAUGUAACCAGGGGUUGGCGCCCUGUAUUGCUGAAAAGGAAAUAUAACCAGGGGUUGGCGCCCUGUAUUACUGAGAAGGAAAUGUAACCAGGGGUUGGCACCCUGUAUUAUUGAAAAGGAAAUAUAACCAGGGGUUGGACCCCUGUAUUACUGGAAAGAAAAUGUAACCAGGGGUUGGCACCCUGUAUUACUGGAAAGGAAAUGUAACCAGGGGUUGGCGCCCUGUAUUACUGAAAAAAAAUGUUGAAUCCCCUGGGCGAAAAUGUUCUACCUGGGUUAAACUACGAAAAGCAAACAUGGGCGAAGAGUACUUCUACUUGGAAAUACGAGCUGGACCCUCCUAGGCGAAAAGGUUCUACCUGGGUUAAGCUAUAUAAAAUAACCUGAGCGAAGAGUACUUCUACCCGGAAACUAUGAGCUUGAUCCCCCUAGGCGAAAAGGUUCUGCCUGGGUUUACUACAAAAAAAUAACCUGGGCGAAGAGUACUUCUAUCCGAAACUGUGAGCUGGAUCCCCCUAGGCGAAAAGGUUCUACCUGGGUUAAGCUACGUAAAAUAACCUGAGCGAAGACUACUUCUACCCGGAACUGUUAGUUGGAUCCCCCUAGGCGAAAAGGUUCUACUUGGGUUAAGCUACAAAAAACAAGCCUGGGGGAAGAGUACUUCUACCCGGAAAUAUGAGCUAGAUCCCCCUAGGAGAAAAAGUUCUACAUGGGUUAAGCUACGAAAAACAGGCAUGGGCGAAGAGUACUUCUACCCGAAACUAUGAGUUGGAUCCCCCUAGGCUAAAAUGUUCUACCUGGGUUAAGCUACGUAAAACAUCUUGAGCGAAGAGUACUUCUACCCGGAACUAUGAGCUAGAUCCCUCUAGGCGAAAAUUGUUCUACCUGGGUUGAGCUACGUAAAACAUCCUAGGCGAAGAGUACUUCUACCCGGAACUAUAAGCUGGAUCCCCCUAGGCGAAAAUGUUCUACCUGGGUUAAGCUACGUAAAAUAUCCUAGGCGAAGAGUACUUCUACCCGGAACUAUGAGCUGGAUCCCCAUAGGCGAAAAGGUUCUACCUGGGUUAAGCUACAUAAAACAUCCUGGGCGAAGAGUACUUCUACUCGGAACUAUAAGCUAGAUCCCCCUAGGGGAAAAGGUUCUACCUGGAUUAAGCUACGUAAACAACCUGAGCGAAUAGUACUUCUACCCGGAACUAUGAGCUGGAUCCCCCUAAGAAAAAAUGUUCUACCUGGGUUAAGCUACAAAAAAUAGCCUGGGCGAAGAGUACUUCUAUCCGGAACUAUGAGCUGGAUCUCCCUAGGCAAAGGGUUCUACCUGGGUUAAGCUACGAAAAUGAGAGGUAUGAACAUUAGUGAUGAAUGCUAAAAAUAAAGGAAAGUGGAGAUUUUGAGGAAACUUACCUUUGGUGACAUUCGUCCUUUAGGAAUCGCCAUUCUGCACUCCUUUAUUUCUUUUUCAAACAAAGAAAAACUGUGAGUUUUCAAAGUGGUGGUUGGUUUGCAACCUUGAUGUCUUUGGCAACUUGGCUUUGUGCCCAUCUUUUUUAUGAUGAUUUCAAACUUCCACUAGAUGUUUCGUGAAUACCACUUGUAUUUCUGGCCUCGGAGAGCCUUUGACUUUUGAAACUUUUACAUGACGGUUGGUCGUGUGGGACUUAACCUUUUCAACUUUAUUUUGCCUUUGGGGCAUUUCACUUUCGACUUCUUUCCUCCAAAACUUUCAAUUUUAGAGCAUUGAGGAACCUUUGGCUUUUCAAACUUUGCCAAAAUGGUUAGCUACUUGGGACUUAACCUAUUCAACUUCAAUUUUCCUUGUAGGCACUUUCAAUUUGAUUUUCUCUUUUCGAGAGUUUUUGAUUUCAAAGUAUCAACCACCAUGGCCAGUCAGGGUUGACUUGAUGCCCCUGCCAAGGCUGGGUGCCUCUUGAAUAUUAUCUUGUGUCAAACAAAAUCCUUGUAAAUCAGUUUUGCUAUCCCUUCUUUGCAUUAGUUUUGGAAUAGAGUUAGACCGAAAGGGAUUCAAAGAAAAAUAAAUAAUGGAAUGGACAAUGAAUUUAGACAAGAGGUAUCCCUAUCGGUGGAAGGAAAGAAAGACUUAUCUGGAGUACAUGCGGACUUCAAUGACCAUGACAUGCCUUUUGGACUGGAUGCCUGAUCUGUGUAAACCGACUGACUCUAAGAAAUUCAUCACAAAUUUUGCCUCAAAACCGAGAAACAAUGCCCAGGACUGUCAAUACCAAUGGCUAUGAAGAUCCUCUUUUCGAUCAGUAGUGCCUUUUGCGGGUUUUCACCAGCUAAUCUCUCUCGUUUCUCUUCUCACCAUCGCCUUAUAGUGCCCAUUGCGGGUUUUCACUAACAAGACUCUCUCAUUUUCAUUUUCUCUGCUCGUUAUCGCCCUAUGGUGCCCGUGAGUAUUUUCACCAAUAAGAUUCUCAUUUUAUUUCUCUCAGUUUGGUGGCAUUUGAUCCAAGUAACUGUAUCCUCCAAUUUUUGAACAUUCUCGUUGAUUGAUCGGAAGGACUUGAAAAGGAUUUGGGUAAAAGGGAUUUGGAUUGAAUUACAACUUUGGAACCUCUCAGGCGAGACCAUCGCCGAACCAUUGUAACAUUUGCCCAGUUUUAACUUUUGGGGGAAUGUGGAUUUUUAUUUUGGUGUGACUGAACCCCAGAGAGAGGCUGCCUACGUAUCCUUCCGGAAUCAAGUCAAACAUAGUUCAAGUCACUUUAUUUUGAUUUUCUUUUGUUUUUUUUUUCUUUUUCUUUUUUUAUUUCCUUUUCUCUUUUCUUUUUUCAUAAAACUUCCAUGAUCUAAAGAUGGUAAUCAAAGAAAAGUAACCGGCUCAAAAGGGUUUGCAAAUGGUUGAUAGUGUUUGGGUAGCGAGAAUGAAAGCCUACAUCAUCCCAAUCAGAGAACAUUAAAGAUGCGUAAAAGGGUCAAACAUAAUACCUUUUGACCGUGUCUGUAUAGACAGUUGUCUCAGAGACAUUUCCUUCUAUAUCUCCCAAAUACAACACUCCCUUUUGGUAGUAAUCGUGUUACAAUGUAUGCACCUUUCCAAUAUGGAGCCAAUUUUUCUUUGGCUUCUUCAUGAUGCGAGAGGAUACGUCUUAGGACGAGUUUCCCCACUUCGAACUUUCUGGGCCUCACUUUCUUGUUGUAGGCACGGGACAUUCUUUGUUGGUACAACUACCCGUGGCAAACUACGGCCAUACGUUUUUCAUCAAUCAUAGUCAAUUGUUCCAAAUCGGUUCUUGACCCAAUCUUUGUCCUCAAUCUCUACUUCAACAAUGAUCCAAAGAGAGGGAAUUUCAACUUUUUUCAAUUUUAUUUGGAUCUUGGCUUAGGCCUAGUGUUCCAAUUCUUUGCUUAUUUUCUCACAAGCCUCAUCUUCAACACAUUCUGCUUCUUGAUUCAUUAUUUCGAGGUCUGACGGCAUUUUAGGAUCUAGGCAUGAAGUCCACAAGCAUAUCAUGUUAUUAAAAUCUGCAUUAACAGAACUUCAAAAAGAGAAUAAGAAAGGUGACAAGAUUAAGAAAAGAGACAUUCCUAGACAAUGAAAUAUUAAUUUCAUUUAAUUGAUUUUUUUUUAAUUUGAUAUUUUUUUUGAAUUUAAAAUAUAGAAGGGUUUUCAUCGGAAAGUAAGACAAUAAUGUAAAACAUUCGGAUUAUACCCUGAAAUAAUCUGGACGCAGAAAGUAUAGCAAGACUGGCUACCGAGUCUCCCGUCUGAUGGGGGACUUUCAAGUUUGGAGACCAUUUUUUGCUUUUCUUCUGUCUCGGCAAUGGAUGCAAUGGCUUUCAGUGCCAGAUCAAAUUCCUCAUCUUCACGGAUCAUUCCGACUAUUGGCCCAUUGGUGUGAACAUGUAAAGGAUUGUUCAUCAUAUUAAGGGCAUCUUCAUACCUAAGCAUUAUUGCCUUGACCUCGAUGAGGUUUUACACUGCUCUCUUAAGAUUUCAACAGUCUUCCAUAUCAUGUCACACUGCUCUAGAGUGGUAUUCACAUCUAGCAUUAGCCCGGUACGAGGAGGACUCGGGGCUUGGCCGGUUCGGGGCCACUGGAUGCAGCAGACCUAGCCUGACUAGCUUUUGGAACAAGCUCGAGUAUGAUUCACCAAUAGGGGUGAACUGAUUCUUUCUGAAAGGCUCUCUUGGGCAAGGAUUGUAUUGGGUAUCAUUUGGUUGGGGGAUUAUAUGGAGCUUGGUAAGAACGAGCAUUUCUGGAAAGUGGAUCUCGAUUUUGUGUAUAAUGCAAUGGCCGUAUGUAAGGUUGCGCGUUCAUCACCACAUAGGGAGGCGGUGCAACGACCUGUGAUGUGGCCUUAAAGGCAACAUAACUCAAGAUUCGACCCAUUUUUUUUAAAACCAUUUUCGAUCAUCUCCCCAAUUUUGAUAGCCUCAGUGAACGGAUUACCCAUAGCGGACAUCAUGUUCUGGAAGUAGUCUGCCUCUUGGGCCUGUUGUCAGACCGUGACCAUUUCUGCUUCGUCCAUUUGAGUCUUUACCAUAAUAGCUUGUUCGCACCAUUUGACAGCAUAUUCACGAAAACUUUCCGCCGUUUUCUUUGUCAAACUAGACAUAGAGUUCUCUCUUUGGAUUUUUUACUCUUUGUUUUUUUUUUCGCCUUUUGUUUUCUUUGUUAUUUUUGUCACUCUUUUUUUUUUCCCCUUUUUUCUCUUUUUUUUCACUCAGUUUAUUUGAUGCAAUGAUCGAAUCCGAUGGGGAUUGCCUACAUAUCAUGACGUCGCAUGAAUCAGAUCUUGCAUAGUUCAGAAGAUCAGAAAUAAAAUAGAUAAACUAACUUUUUUUUCAUAUACAAUUAAUCCGAUAAAAUCUCCUAGCAAAGAAAAUAUUUUUAAUUUUUUUUCGAUUUUUUUUGAAUUGGUGAAAGAAAGACUUCUAAAGAAGAAAGAAAAUAUUUUUGAAUUUUGAGUUUUUUUUUUUUUGUAAAUUUCAAAAGAAAGACAAUAUUUUUUGGAUUUUGAUUUGAUUUUCUUUUCAAAUGAAAGACUUCUAAAAAGAAAGAAAAUAUUUUUAAUUUUAAAUUUUUUUAUUUGGGAUUUUUUAAGGAAAGACUUCUAAAGAAGGAAUUAAAGGAAAAUAUUUUUGGAUUUUUAAAAAUUGGGGCCGGAACCGAUGAGGUUUGCCUACGUAUCUCACAUCCGUUGAGAAUCAGACCCGCGUAAUUCGGUAAACCAACUAUUUUUCUCUUCAUUUUUUUUUUAAAAAUUAAUCUUUAAAAAUCAUACGCACUAGACCACAUCAUUAUUUUUCUUUUUCUUUCUCUGUUCAUUGAACUGAUUUAUGCUAAAUUUGGUCAAUAUACAAGCCUCCCAAAUAAUGCAACAAGUAGCACAUAAUAUGACAUAAUGGUCUCAACAAGGUACCUGUCCAAAAAUAGAACUAGAGUCAUGUGUCGAUCCCUGCUAAAUCAAAUGCAUGUGAUGCAAAUAAAGCGAACUUACUAGGGAUAUUCGGCAUGAGGUUUGUUCUUCUAGGUUUAAAUCCUAUUGGAGAAGGUAUCUAGAAUGGCUUACUCGAGCGAACAACUUGAGCCGAGGAGGGUCAGCGUACCGAUAGCAUUGCUUUCCAAAUUAGCUGGUGGUGCUCCACGCCUAAAACAUGUGUGACUAAAAAUCUUUCACCGGGUGACAAGCACCUCGGCUAUCUCAAAGAAAGUGGGCUAUGUCAAGCAAAUGCCCAAUUUGUAUUUUCAAGAAGACUCAGAGGGGGUGCGUGAGAAGACUGUUUAUAUGUACAGUUCAAUAAUAUCAAAGCGGUAAAAAACGAACAGGUAGCACAUUAGGCACAAAUAAAUCACAAUAUAUACAAAAUUAAUAAAGCCAAAUAAAAAGUCAACAUGUGCAAGCUCGAAUUCUGGUUAUGUCCCCAGCAAAGUCGCCAGAACUGUUACACCCCCUUUUACUCUCCAAAAGAUAUAUGUGUUUUAUGGAUUAUUGUGGGUUAAAGAGUUUUUCCAAUUAAAGUGACAAACUUGAGUAGGGAUUAUAUUAUUUACAGAGUCGCCACUUGAAAUUGAGUUUUUUGGUGUUCCAAGUCACCUUUUAUUUGAAUCCCUAGUCAAAGGAAAGUUUGACUCUAUUAUUAUUGGUCUGCGAAAAUAAAGUUCGGGUAAGGAAUUCUGUUGACCGGGGAGAAGGUGAAAGGCAUUCCCUGAGUCCCGUGGUUCUAGCACGGUCGCUUUAUUGACUACAACUUGGCUUGAAUUAAUUUUGGAUAAACUAUGAAUUAUUGGUUUAAAUAUUUUAUCUAUCCGCUUUUAAAAUAUAAAAUUAUCUUUGAAACGAAUCAUGUGUGUGAAUCCGUUUUGUUUAUUGUGCCAAAAUCAUGUCACGCGUGCGUGUACACAAUUAAUAGCAUUUUUGUUAUAUUAAGAUUAUUUUGGCCAAAGUUGCGCGAACACAUACUUCGAUUUUAAUUUUAGAAAUCACAAUUAUGUCACGCGAACGUAUACAUAAUCACGAUAUAUUCAUUAAAAGCACGCCUAAAGCACUCUAAGGGGUAUUUAUUAUUCUUUCUAAACUUGAGAUUAUUGUAUGUGAAGGCAAUGAAUUAUAGAUAGGAAACUAUUGUGGAAAAAUAGUAUGAUCUUGUUAUUAGGCUAAUGGGCUAAUAAAUAUUUAAAAGAAACUACAACUUAAAUACAUUUUCUUUGUAAAAUCAAUUGGUCCGAUUAAUUCCAACCGCUACUCCACCCAAUUGUUAACAAGUAUCAAAUUAAUUCAUGAAUUAAUCGCACAGAAUGAAGCAAAUGGGACAACCAGUGAUUAAAAUAACAGUUCCAAAGACACAUGCAAAGAAUAUAUAGAAACAAAUAAAUUAUAUACAAAACUAAAUUGUUUUGCUUCUGGUUCAACAAAGAAGUCAAACAUUUUUGCAACUUAAGAAAUUAAUAUUAUUAAAUUAUUUCCCCAAAUAUAGUGUGUGCACCCCUUAUUAACUCAAACCAUUCUGCUUGUAAUUCCAAAACUUGUUCCAUCCUAUUUAAUUAAUGGGUUCAACAGUAAAAAUUAUAAUACUUCACAAAUCUGUACAAUAUCAAUAUAGUCGAACCAGUGAACACAUUGCUAAGAACUGCACAAAGCACCAAAAUUGCACAAGAUGACCAAUAACGAGCUAAUCACUGUUUUUACCAAACAAAGGCACUCUCAUUUAAGAGUAAAGAGAAAACACCAAGCCUAAUAGAUAUUACAAUCAAAUGCUACAAAAAUAAAAUUCAGAUAUUAAACGAUGAACAAAGAGUUUAGUAUUAAACCUUUUUUAGAAGCCAAACUUCUUCAAGCAAAUUUUAUUAGCAAGCACCUUUGGACACAACAUCGGAAAACAUAAAGUAGCAGCGUUGGGAAAUGGCUCAUGUUUUUAACCGAAACUUUGGACUGCAGAGGCCUCAAACAAAUUUCAAAUGGAGAUCUCACUCACUCACGAGUUUUGCGAUAGUUUGAGGUCUUUUGAGGAUGGAGUUGAGCAGAUUUUCAGUUGCUAUUUCAAGUUGUUUUGUGGAUUGUUUUGGUCUAUUUUCGGAUGGUUUUAGUGGUUGUUGUUGGUGUUUAUGGUGGUCGAUUUUGGGGGUAAAAGAGCUGGUUUUCACGUAGGGAAGAAGGGUUCGUGAGCUGCCGCUAUAGUGAAGAAGAAGCAGUCCUUUUUCCGUUCCAGUCUUCCCCGUUUUUCUCUGAUUUUUUCUCUAUUGUUUUAGCUCUAUUUUUUUUCUCCCUCAAUCGUGUGUGUGUGUGUGAGGUCCUAUGAGAGAGUGAAUGUCUAGGUUUUUGUAAAGGGAGGGAGGUGAAUAUGGGACAAGCAUGGGGGAGAAGGGAAAGUGAAGUGGGAAUAAAGAGUGGGGGGACAAAGAGUGGGGAGCAAGGGAAAAUGGAGUGAGAAGUGAGGUAUUGGUGAGAUUAAUGGGAAAAAAC